AUGCCUACGGGAGGCAGCAGUAGGGAAUCUUCCACAAUGGACGAAAGUCUGAUGGAGCAACGCCGCGUGAGUGAAGAAGGGUUUCGGCUCGUAAAGCUCUGUUGGUAGUGAAGAAAGAUAGAGGUAGUAACUGGCCUUUAUUUGACGGUAAUUACUUAGAAAGUCACGGCUAACUACGUGCCAGCAGCCGCGGUAAUACGUAGGUGGCAAGCGUUGUCCGGAUUUAUUGGGCGUAAAGCGAGUGCAGGCGGUUCAAUAAGUCUGAUGUGAAAGCCUUCUGCUCUACACGAGAAU
This 294-nucleotide ribosomal RNA is filed under the name uncultured bacterium. Its description in RNAcentral is "partial 16S ribosomal RNA". It matches the Rfam family "Bacterial small subunit ribosomal RNA", at positions 335 to 621 of the family's 1533-position model. The record is from RNAcentral.